This 113-nucleotide small nucleolar RNA is filed under the name Nicotiana attenuata. RNAcentral describes it as "Small nucleolar RNA U19". It matches the Rfam family "Small nucleolar RNA U19". Lineage: Eukaryota; Viridiplantae; Streptophyta; Magnoliopsida; Solanales; Solanaceae. The record is from Rfam by way of RNAcentral.
AUUUGGCUUAGUUAGGGGGCGGAGACUAAACCUUUUUGAUGCAAAGAUUCAAUCUUUAAAGGGACUCUUUGUUCUUCUUCAUCAAUUGUCCUAUAAGCAUCUUUUGAACACUC